Molecule: long non-coding RNA, 3022 nt
Filed under: Mus musculus (house mouse)
Lineage: Eukaryota; Metazoa; Chordata; Mammalia; Rodentia; Muridae
Description: long non-coding RNA chr7:74635454-74638476
Source: RNAcentral
CUCCCUAGUUUUCAUUUUACAAUGAUGAGCAAGAGACAAAAACUCUGAACAUUUGAAGCAAAAUAGGAUUUAUGGAAAAUAUAUUAGAUAAAGAAUCAGAAAUUAGAUAAAACAAAACAAAACUCCACUUAGAAGCAGGGCAUCAUAGCACAUUGUCCCACUAGAAAUCUUUGAAUGAAUAAAGCCCAUAUGUUUUUCUUCUCUGUCUAUGCAUCAUCUAAGCAUGAAUGACGUCCCAAGAAAACACAACCCGGUAGUCAACCCAGGCAGCAUGUGCCACAUGAGUAAAAAGAAACACCCAGGAGAAAGGCUUUUCAGGGAUUUCCCAGCUUCCAUGGUGAGAACACAGGUCAUUGGUCUAAAGGAAUGGGGGAAUGUUUAUGAAAAGAUGGGUGCCAAGGGGCCAGAAUGUUUUAAAAAUAAUUAUCUUGUUUAAAGACACAUUCCACGCCCCCCUAUGUUAUGUAAGAAGCCUGUAAGAUGGUUCCUUAAGCCAGUUCCUUCUGGUCUAGGUCUGUAACAAUGAUACACAUCUUUCCACUAGCAAUAUAUUGUAUAGCAUAGCAACUAGCAAUCUACAUUGCAUAUGUGUUAUCUCAUUGCAUAUUUAAAUAUACACUGUGCUAUAGGCUGAAUUGUGUUUUCCCUUUGAAAGCUGAUGUUAUUAAAUUUCUAACUCCCAAAGCCACCAUGUAACUCUAUUUGGAGUUGGUCUUUCAAAGCAGCUAUCAGUUUAAAAAUGGCUUCUAAUCCUUUUUGACUUGUGUUCUCUCAUGAAGUAGAAAUUAGGACAUACAUAUUAUCAUGGAUGUAAGUAGACUAAAGGACAUAAGAGGAGACAGAGAGAGGGGGGAUGGCCAUCUUGCAAGCCACAUAUAGAGGAUUUAGAGGAAACCAAACCUUCCAAUGCCCAAUUCUGGGUUUCUAGGCUCAAGAAUCUCCAGAAAAUUCAAAUUCUGUUGUUCAAGUAGCCCAUCUUACAGCGUUUGCUGUGGUAGCUGAGGGAACUUGUAAUAAUUACAUAAGAGAACCAAGAAUGGAAGAGACCGGGACAAGAAUUAAAGAAUCCAAGUCCCACAGCAAACAAGUAGCAGAGAAACCAGAUUCUUUGGUCUUAAGUCAGCUUUCUCUAAGCUUCCCCAUGCUAUUCUUUCCUUCCAUUGUUAACAUACUUCCUCUCCUUCAGUCCAUUCAGGUCUAAUAAAAUAAGAGAGUCCUUGAACGCAGAGACUGCUAUUGGCAGUCACCAGAAUAGCCAAUGUGGUCCUCACACUCAGGUGUGAGAUCUUUUCUCAUGAGUGCAGUACAAAUCCCUAAAUGAUUGCCACAUGCCACUGGUUUGUCAACAGGUAAUCUUACGUCAACAGUGAUUAGCCAUUCACUGGGGAAAAAGUCAUAGUAAAUUUGAUGAUGUAUUUCUUAAUAUUAUGCGCAACAUAAAGUUAUUGUGAAAGGGGCCCUAGGUCAGAACAAAGGUACCAUGUUUGCAGCUCCAAUCAUACUGCAUUUUGUUACCCAACCUUAUCAGAUGAACCUCUUGUAAUAAUCCAAAUUGUAUAUUUUUUGAGGUCUGGCAGGAGCAUUUUAUUCAUAAACAAAGAAAUCUUCUACUUGGGCCAGUGAUAUAUGAGCUAAUACACGAGCUGCCCUCAAGUCCCAUCACUGUGGUGUGUAGUUUGGAUCUCAGGGCUCCUUUGGCAUUGACCUCUGUUGCAGUCAAUUCUUCCUAACCAGCUACCCCACAGAAUGAGUGUGUACUUCAUUCAUGCCUUAUAUUUCAUAGAGUAUAGUGGAUCCAGAUAGUUCAUUCCUCAGCUUCAUUGUGAUGUAGAAUAACAUGCCCAACAGAAGUUGUCACUCAGACACACACACACAAACACACACACACACUUCCAAAUAGCUCUGUGUUCCUGGAUUUGGAGGCUCCAUAUAUUCAGAGAUCAUAUAUUGUAAAAUGUGCUGAAAGAUUCUUAGCCCAAGCAUAAUUGUUUCUUCCAGGCCAAUGAUUAUGUCUAACAUUUUGCAACCAAUGAACAAUGCUCAUUGAUUCUGACAUGGUAGAAGACAGAUUGUCCCAACAUGCAGAGGCUCAAUGCCAUAAGCAAAGUAAAUGAGAGUCUGUCGAGUAUAAGUCAUAACAAUAGCGCAUGGACUGAUGGUAAGAAGGGUCCUUGUGUCAGUUCAAUGAAAUAACUCCUAUUAUCUCUGUUUAUACCUACCACAUGAGUAAUGGUCAUAGUACAAUUAGCAUAUUUUAACCAAAAUAUUGUGAUUUGAGUGUGUGUCUUUGUGUGUGUGUGUGGGGGGGGUGCAUCCCACAGUGCUUAUGUGGAGGGAAGGGGACAGCCACAGAUGUCAGUCUUCCACAUUCACCUUCACAACUUCAUGCUUAUCCCUGGAAAAUGUGUUUUUUAAUGGAAAUACCAGAAAAUGUGUAUCUGCACCUUGUUUGCCAUGGGGUCACUUUGUUGUUCUCUACUGUGUAUGCCAGGCUACUUUGCCCAUGAGCUUUUCAGUUAAUGGAUAUAUUUAUAUAAUUAUAAUUGUUGGGUUCAUAGAGUCCUAUUAUAUGCAGUGAUUUGUUUAACAAAUUCCCUGUUCUUAGGAACCUAAGAAACUUCAAUACUGUAAGAAAUACUGCUGUAGUGAAUAGCUUCGCAACUUCACAACUUAGUACUUAUCCCUGGGAAUUGACUUUUCAUGGAAAUACCAGAAAAUGUGUAUGUACAUGUUCAAGUCUUUAGAUUGCUAUUGCCACCAUGUCAUUUCAGAGGAGAAAAGAUGGCUCUGCAGUUCAGAGAAUGCUCUGAUGUUGCAGAGGAUUGGAGCUCAGUUUCCCACACAAUGCCAGGCAGCUUACAACUGCCUGCAACUCAAGCUCCAAGGGGAACCGAUGGAGCUUGGGUGUACAGAUACUACCUCCAUACACACAUGCACAUAAUUAAAAACGAAAUUUAAAGCAUGUUAUACUAAACUGCAAUAUGUGUAGGAUGCUAGAAGGGAAAAUUUGAAUAUUUAUACC